Molecule: ribosomal RNA, 253 nt
Filed under: uncultured bacterium
Lineage: Bacteria
Description: partial 16S ribosomal RNA
Rfam family: Bacterial small subunit ribosomal RNA
Source: RNAcentral
UACGUAGGGCGCGAGCGUUGUCCGGAAUUAUUGGGCGUAAAGAGCUCGUAGGCGGUUUGUCGCGUCGGUUGUGAAAACCCAAGGCUCAACCUUGGGCCUGCAAUCGAUACGGGCAGACUAGAGUACUGCAGGGGAGACUGGAAUUCCUGGUGUAGCGGUGGAAUGCGCAGAUAUCAGGAGGAACACCGGUGGCGAAGGCGGGUCUCUGGGACGGUACUGACGCUGAGACGCGAAAGCGUGGGGAGCGAACAGG